RNAcentral lists this ribosomal RNA (269 nucleotides) under uncultured bacterium. RNAcentral's name for it is "partial 16S ribosomal RNA". It matches the Rfam family "Bacterial small subunit ribosomal RNA", at positions 793 to 1055 of the family's 1533-position model. The record is from RNAcentral.
GUCCUGGCCCUAAACGAUGUCGACUAGGUCGUGGCGGCUCUGACGCCGUCGCGGCCGAAGCAAAAGUGCUAAGUCGACCGCCUGGGAAGUACGGUCGCAAGGCUAAAACUCAAAGGAAUUGACGGGGGCUCACACAAGCGGUGGAGCAUGUGGUUUAAUUCGAAGCAACGCGCAGAACCUUACCUGGGCUUGACAUGCCAGGAUUAUCCCUAUGAAAGUAGGGUAGGCCCUUCGGGUACGAACUGGUACAGGUGCUGCAUGGCUGUCGU